UACAGAGGUGGCAAGCGUUGUUCGGAUUUAUUGGGCGUAAAGGGUCCGUAGGCGGUUCGGAAAGUCGGAUGUGAAAUCCCACAGCUUAACUGUGGAACUGCAUUCGAAACUUCCGGACUCGAGUAUGAUAGGGGUAUAGGGAAUUCCCGGUGUAAGAGUGAAAUCUGUAGAGAUCGGGAGGAACACCAGUCGCGUAGGCGCUAUACUGGAUCAUUACUGACGCUGAGGGGCGAAAGCCAGGGGAG
RNAcentral lists this ribosomal RNA (245 nucleotides) under uncultured bacterium. RNAcentral's name for it is "partial 16S ribosomal RNA". It matches the Rfam family "Bacterial small subunit ribosomal RNA", at positions 524 to 768 of the family's 1533-position model. The record is from RNAcentral.